GCGGCGGAACCUGAAAAGCCUGAACAGAGUAGGGA
Non-coding RNA from Chryseobacterium indologenes, 35 nucleotides. NCBI's taxonomy places the organism in Bacteria, Pseudomonadati, Bacteroidota, Flavobacteriia, Flavobacteriales, Weeksellaceae. The record is from Rfam.